Paramuricea clavata is the source of this 2321-nucleotide non-coding RNA. The record is from the annotation of a GenBank genome assembly. NCBI's taxonomy places the organism in Eukaryota, Metazoa, Cnidaria, Anthozoa, Malacalcyonacea, Plexauridae.
AAAAUGGCCGACUCGCAAGUGUUCUAUAAUAGAGCUGUACACUUCAAAGACAAAUCCUUCUAAUGCUGGUCGCCAAAACCAACCAGGAAAUCGAAAAGAACAUUUCGCGAAAAGGUAUUUAACGAAAAUGUACUUUAAUGAUGCUAUUGGUCGGUGAAAUCAUUUCAAAACUGAAGCUGGAAUCAAAAGUGACGAGCGUUUGCAAAUACUCUGCUGAUCGAGCCUGAUACGAAACAUCAAGACGGAUUUAAUUGUGGUAAGUACAUAACACAUAUCCCUGGAUAUUUCAGUUAUGUUAAUGCUGUUAUAUUUCCUCAUUACAAAACUUUAUUGUGCACUUAUAGCGCUGUGGAAACCCAGACGGAUCAGUAGCCAGAUGAAACAAUACAAUGCAGACAUGAGCCAUUGCCAGUAUAAUGAGUAUAUGUUCAGCAAGGGCCGGAAACAGCAAUGGAGCCACAUAAAGAUUCUUAAAGAUUCUCCUAAACACUACAAAUACAUCCUACAACUUAUAAUGAAGAUAUGUAUAACAUUUUAUGCUUUCCUGAAACCUAGUGAGAAAAAAGUGACAUUUAGCUUUCAUUAUGAAAUUCCAUAUUCUUUAUAUCACCUUUUCAAACAUAAAUAUUUUGAUCAUUCUGUAGGCAUGUUAAGAGCACAGUAGCACCUGCUGAUUGAUCUGUUUUAAGAGCACUUAAAUGGCUUUUUGGAAAGCCAAAUUUUGAUUUGCAUGAACAUUACCGGUAACAAAAUCAAAAUGUGGCUUGAAAAAAGCCAUUUAAGUGUUUUUAAAACACAUUGGUCAGCAGGCACUAAUGUGCAUUUAAACAGGAAUAAAACUAAUUAUAAGUCUUCUUUACUUCUUUAGGUAUGGGGAUUGGUGUUACAAGUGAUGACCGAAGGCAAAUUGCUCCUAACAUAACCCCUGUCCCUCCUCCUUCAGUCAAAGAACUUGUUGAAACCCAUCAGUCUAGAUUCAACUGAUCACUGUAGACAAGUGUCUGGCACUUAAAACAAAGUGCUCUGGUUAGGUGGAGCUUGUAAUCCCUGAAAGGCAGUCCACCUAGGAGAAGGAACUCUGAUUACAAACUCCCGGACCCAAAUAGUGAGUCAGGCUGUCCAUAUUGGAUUCAUUGAUCUUCGGUGCACAGCAAUACACUUUUCAGGACUGAAGUAAGGAGCAAGGAGUAAUUUUAAAGAAUAAAAAAAUCAAUGUCAAUACCAAAUGUUGUGCUUGAACAUCCAAUGCAUUUGAUAACUUGUCUUUUAUAAAAUGAAAUAUUACUGUUCAUAAAAGAUUUAACCCAUUGACAUGAUAAAGUCUUUCAUUUGUCAGCAAAAUUUGCUGUGGUUAGUAGACAGAGAAAGCUUAAAAUAAGUUUGAAGCAAUUUUGAACUGCAAUUGUCUACUUUUGGUGUAUGUGUUAGAGUGAAUAACCAAGCCACGCAAAGUAAUGUUUCCUGUAAUUUUGCUAAAACACAUAUGCCAAAAGGAGAAAAUCAAAGUUUAAAAUCGCUUGUGUGAACGGGCCUUAACAGGUGUGAAUUACCCAUGUUCUGUCAAAAUAUUUUAAAUGAUCCUCCCUGUCAUGGGGAGAUAAUUGCAGUAAAAUGGAUUAAUGAAUAAUAAAGUUUCCCUCAAUGAUCAAUAACAUAAUAAAAACAUGUGCAACAAAUAUUUACAAUCUAGCAGGUUGAUACCCAGUGUAUAUCCCAUUUGGAGAAGGAUAUCGUCUCCGUAUUGCUGUAACACAACAGCUUGGAAUCACUCUCCUGUUCCGAAUUCCUAACAUUCGUUGUUGCCAGAGUACGUAUUGUCUGGCGAGCAGCAUGGCAAAAUUUUCAUUGUUUCUAAUAUUAUUUAACACUAAAAAGUCUUCCCUCUAAUGCAUGGCCAGGUCCAGAUCGAACAUUUCCAUCAAGUACUAAGUGUGGGAAGAGAGGGCUAUUUUCCAAUUGUGUUGGCAUUGCAACACACCAUCCACAUUUGCAAUACUCUGAGGCAUUUUCUGGGUUUUCAUAGCUGGGUCUGGUUGAAGCGGUUCACCUGGCAAUUCACCAUUUACCAAAUUGACAAAUGCUGCUGGCUGAUGCUGUAUAAGCUCUAGAGCAAAUGCUCUUCAAAGGGCAUUUAAAUCCAAUGCUACCACAAGAGUCUGAAAUGAAUAUAUUUAUCAUUAAUUAAAUGCAAAAAUUCAAGCGCAGUGAAACACAGAUAUUUCUUACCACCAAAUUACUGCAUUUCACACCUAUGUAGACUUGUAUAUAGACAGGCAAACUUUUUUUUACAUAAUUUGAUGUUUUACCCGGCAAGGAUAUGC